CUGAAAAAAAUAUUAGUCAAUGUGUUUUAUAGUCAAACUCAGUGUUGGCUGGAUUUAGUCAGCUUCAUAGCUGGUUUACAUUGCUAAGCACAUGCUGCUUUUGGCAGCAGUUUAAUGAUAGACAAUGUAUUUAGUGAGAUUUCCUUGUAUGCGAUUAUAAGACUAGAGGCUUUAUUCCUCAUGCCAAUUGGGGGAGGGGAACCUCAUUUUGUAUUAAAAUAAAUAUAGUAAUUUCUCUGCUGCUCUCCACUUCUUCUGGUGGGAAAAGUAGAUCAUGCCAUCCCAUUCAGAGGUGCAACUUCUCUCCCCACCUCUCACCUGACCAGCUCUGCUAAUGGCAGCUCUCCACCCAUUUGCUUGUAUGGCAGACACCUCUUCUUCUCCUGUGCUCAAUUCAGGUAGCCUUAGACUAGCUGCACUGGAUAGAGAAGAGCACCCCCCAUGUCCCAUUAAUUCUCUGCAUAGCUACUUAAGACAUGGGACAA
Molecule: long non-coding RNA, 485 nt
Organism: Gavialis gangeticus (Gharial)
Lineage: Eukaryota; Metazoa; Chordata; Crocodylia; Gavialidae
Exons: 3
Source: RefSeq, a predicted model, not a curated record